Molecule: RNA transcript, 2352 nt
Organism: Selaginella moellendorffii
Lineage: Eukaryota; Viridiplantae; Streptophyta; Lycopodiopsida; Selaginellales; Selaginellaceae
Gene name: hippocampus abundant transcript 1 protein
Exons: 15
Source: RefSeq, a predicted model, not a curated record
GCUUCUUGUAGGUGCAAGAUUUUGCCAGGAUCGUCGCUCGCUUCAUGGAGAUCCUUCCAAUUGCUUUGGAUGCAAGCGUCCCUGGACAAGAUGCGUGAAGGAAUCUCCAAGAAGAUCACUUUCUUGGGGCCCUGUGUGUGUGUGUGAUCGUCCCGCUAGCGUAGAAUAAAUCGCGCCAGGAAGCAAUACGAUCGCUGUAGCUCGCUGGCUCCCUCGCUCUACGAUGACAGAAUCAUCGAGCAGUAGCAGCGGCGGCCAUCGGCGGGGAUUCUUGCGCAAGAUCAUCGUCCUGAGGCCGCUCAUCCAUCUCAUCUUCGCCACGCUCCUCCACAUCAUGGCGACGAUGAUGGUGAUCCCGGCGCUCACGGAUGUUCUUCUUGGAGCGCUCUGCCCCGGCCAGGCCGAAUGCAACGAAGCGAUCUACUUGACCGGCAUCCAGCAAAUCGUCGCGGGGAUUGGGACGAUGCUGGUGACGCCGAUUCUCGGCGAGCUCUCGGACGAGUAUGGCCGCAAGCCGCUGCUGAUGAUUCCAUUCUCCGCCGCUGUUCUUCCCAUGGCGAUACUCGCCUAUAGCCAAUCCAGGCCGUUCGUUUACGCCUACAUGGUCGUGGGAACAGUGGUUAGGAUCUUCGCCGAGGGUGGCAUUACAUGCCUCUCUUUUGCGUAUGUGAGCGACUGUAUCGAGCGACGCUACCGAGCUCUUGCCAUUGGCGUGCUCAUGGGAUCGUUUUCAGUCGGUUAUGUCAUUGGGAUUCUUUUGGCCCGAGUGUUGGCUCAGGAUCAAAUUUUCAAGGUGGCUGCUGUCGUGAUUGCUUUUGCUGCGGUCUAUGUCAAAGUAUUUUUACCAGAGACAAAUGCCGAGCGUGGUCCACCGCUUCUUCCGAAUCACAGUGACACGCAUCAGCAGCAUAAGCGUGACGAAUGUCGCUCUACACCGCUGCUCAUGCGUAGCACUUCCUCAAUCACAGACACUGUUCUUCUGUUUAAACAGAACAAUCUUUUGACGCAGGUGGCGGUGAUAGUAUUCUUCUCCAGUCUUGGCGAAGCUGGAUUACAGGGUUCGCUGUUGUAUUAUUUAAAAGCGACUUUUGGUUUUGCAAAGGACCAAUUUGCAGAGCUCAUGCUAAUUAAUGGACUGGCAUCAGUGUUUUCUCAACUGCUCAUUAUGCCAGUCUUUGUACAUUUUUUCGGCGAAAAAAUCGUUCUGUUUAUAGCUAUUUCUGCUUCUGCUUCUCAUGCACUUUUAUAUGGAGUAGCAUGGGCAGACUGGGUGCCAUACGUCUGUUCCAGCUUCAGUAUCUUUUUUGUCUUGAGCUUCCCUUGCAUAGGGAGUAUUGUAUCAAAGACAGCGGAACCGGAAGAACAGGGUAAGUUCCAAGGUUUAAUUGCGGGUAUAAGAUCGUUUGCAACUAUAUUAUCACCGCUUGCUAUCAGCCCCUUGACAGCACUGUUUCUAUCCAAGGACGCUCCUUUCAAUUGCCCAGGAUUCAGUCUAAUCGUUGCUGGAAGCGUAAUGGUUGUAGCUCUUGUUCAAGCGCUCAUGCUCCAGCCAAUACCCCCGCCCCUAUCGAAGCCAAGUAAGUUAACUCAAGUGGCAAUUGCUUGCGAAGAACAGGUGGCUGCUUGGCCAGAGUUUUAAAAGACAACUCUCUCCCAUCGAUAGAUCGAUCACGACAGGCCAAAUCAUGCCAAAAAAAUGCGAUGGUUCUUUUUUUGUAUGAUCAUCCAAACUUAGGAACAAAGUUCGUGCGUAUGUACUUCGCCUGGGCUCCGAGAAAACGGCCAUUCCGUACUGUACUCGCGCCUGACGGGUGUGACGGCUUGCGCUCCACACGCGACGGUCGGUCUCACCCGUCAUCUGACGGUCAGUCGGCAGCCCACGCGCCACUGGUACGGCCUGCCGCCGGAAUGUGACUCUGCGCACAUGUGUAUCCACCUGUCAGGAUAUGCUUGGGGAUACGCUCCACGUGGACACCCACGUCAGCUUGGGUUUCUAUUCUCUAGGUUGGUAUUCUCUUCUCUUGGAAGCGAGGCAAUGGCGCUGUGGGGCAGGGGUUCUAAUCGCUGCUCUCUCGCGACGAUUUAUUAGGGCUUUGGCUCGAUCGAUCGAUCGAUCGCAGGGGAAGCGAUGGAGAGCGCGGCGCUGUCUCAGCUCGCGGCGAGCGAUCGUCGCUCAUCAGCUGGUUUGUUCCUGUGAUGAUUCUUGCGUGGCGGCGCCGGGGAUGAGGAAUUCGUGGCUGCGCGAUCCUGCAUUUCGCGAUCCUUGGCGAAAUAUCGUGCGCCGGGCGCUCGUAGGGUAUGAUGUCGCUGUUCUUGCUCUUUAUGUGUGGAAAUAUUUUUGUUUUCUUCGCU